This is a long non-coding RNA of Corapipo altera (White-ruffed manakin), 932 nucleotides long. RefSeq lists it as uncharacterized. The transcript has 5 exons. The record is from RefSeq and is a predicted model, not a curated record. Lineage: Eukaryota; Metazoa; Chordata; Aves; Passeriformes; Pipridae.
UCCCAAAGGGGGUUUGAGGUCCCUAAAAUGGGUUUGAGGUCCCCAAAAUGGGUUUGAGGUCACUAAAGAGGGUUUGAGGUCCCCAGAAUGGGUUUGAGGGCCCCAAAGAGGGUUUGAGGUCCCAAAAUGGGUUUGAGGGCCCCAAAGAGGGUUUGAGGUCCCCAAAGGAGGUUUGAGGUCCCCAAGGAGGGUUUGAGUUCCCCAGAAUGGGUUUGAGGGCCCCAAAGGGGGCUUGAGAUCUUCAAAGAGGGUUUGAGGGCCCCAAGGGGAGUUUGAGGUCCCAAAAAUAGGUUUGAGGUCCCCAAAGGAGGAUUUGAGGUCCCCAAAGGGGGUUUGAGGUCCCCAAGGAUGGUUUGAGGUCCCAAAAUGGGUUUGAGGUUCCCAAAGAGGGUUUGAGGUCCCCAAAGGGGGGUUUGAGGUCCCUAAAGUUGGUCUGAAGGUCCCAAAGUUGGUUUGAAGAUCUCCAAGGUUGGUCUGAAGGUUCCCCAAGGUUGGUUUAAAGAUUCCCAAGGUUGGUCUGAAGGUCCCCAAAGGUGGGUUCAGGGUCCCUAAAGUUGGUCUGAAGGUCCCCAAAGUUGGUUUGAAGAUCCCCAAAGUAGGUUUGAGGUCCCCAAGGUUGGUCUGAAGGUCCCCAAGGUUGGUUUGAAGAUUCCCAAGGUUGGUCUGAAGGUCCCCAAAAGUGGGUUCAGGGUCCCUAAAGUUGGUCUGAAGGUCUCAAGGUUGGGUUUAAAGAUCCCCAAGGUUGGUCUGAAGGUCCCCAAGGUUGGUCUGAAGGUCCCCAAGGUUGGUGUGAAGGUCCCCAAGGUUGGUUUGAAGGUCCCCAAGGUUGGUCUGAAGGUUCUCAGAGUUGGUCUGAAGGUCCCCAAGGUUGGGUUUAAAGAUCCCCAAGGUUGGUCUGAAGGUCCCCAAGGUUGGGUUUAAAGAUCCCCAAG